Long non-coding RNA from Mandrillus leucophaeus (drill), 798 nucleotides. RefSeq lists it as uncharacterized. Lineage: Eukaryota; Metazoa; Chordata; Mammalia; Primates; Cercopithecidae. The record is from RefSeq and is a predicted model, not a curated record. The transcript has 3 exons.
AGAGGCUGAGCUGGAAUGGCAUCUUCAUCAUUAAGGGCUGACCUAUUGGCUUGGCAUUGAAAUCAAUUUAGAACAAAUGGUCUCCAUUUCAAGUCAGCUUGAACCAUCUAAGCCCCAGAACAUGACACAGAAAGAAAGAAACAGUAAACUGCCUCUUCUACCAAUGUCUAAGAUGAAUGGUAAAAAUGCAUAUGAAUAGAAUUUUUCUUUUACGUGAUGAUACAGUGUUUUGGUGUCCCAAAUAAAUAAAAUCCAGUACUGUCCAAUUGAAAUAUAAUGCAAGCCACAUUUCUAGUAGCCAUAUUUUAAAACGUAACAAUGAAGUGUUGAAAUUUACCUUAAUACUGCCUUUUUUAAUCAAAUAGGUCCAAAACAUUAUUAUUUUGACAGGUAUUAUGAGUUGAGUUGUGUCCCCCACAAAAUUCAUGUUGAAGCCCUAACCAGCAGUACUACAGAAAUGUGACUAUAUUGAGAGAUGGGGUUUCAAAAGAAGUAAUUAAGUUAAAGUGGGUUCAUUAGGAUGGGCCCCAAUCCAAUAUAACUGGUGUUCUUAUAACAAGAGGCAAAAUGGACAUGGGCACACACAGAGGGAAGAUCAUGUGAUGACAUGAACCAAGAAGAGAGGUCUCAGAAGAAAUCAACCUGACGACACCUUGAUCUCAGACUUCUACCUUCUAGAAUUGUGAAAAAUACAUUUAUCUUGCUUAACCCACCUAGUCUAUGAUAAUUUGUUAUGGCAUCUCUAGCAAACUAAUUCAAUAUGUAAUCAAUUAAUCAAAAUAAAAUUUAUUAAUAAGA